RNAcentral lists this small nucleolar RNA (73 nucleotides) under Pteropus vampyrus (large flying fox). RNAcentral describes it as "Small nucleolar RNA SNORD112 (ENSPVAG00000028470.1)". The record is from RNAcentral. Lineage: Eukaryota; Metazoa; Chordata; Mammalia; Chiroptera; Pteropodidae.
UGGACCAAUGAUAAGGAUGUCUCUUGAAACAAGGAUUCUGAUGAAUCCACUUCUGUGAACCUAAGGACCCAUU